RNAcentral lists this transfer RNA (63 nucleotides) under Chaetocnema confinis. Its description in RNAcentral is "tRNA-His". Lineage: Eukaryota; Metazoa; Arthropoda; Insecta; Coleoptera; Chrysomelidae. The record is from RNAcentral.
AUCUAAAUAGUUUAAUAAAAAAUAUUGAUUUGUGGAUUCAAAGUUAUAUAUUUGUUUUAGAUC